CUGCCAUCCAUGCCUCGUUCCUGCACUUCCUUGUUCCUGAUCCUGAAUCCCUGUGUACUGACCUCCACCUGUUCUUCGACCAACCCCGCUCGAAGAAUGGCAAACCGGACGCACUAUCCCGGAUCCAUGAAGGGAAGCGAACGAUAGCCCUGAGUGUUCCUAUACAUCCGGAGGCCUGCUUCGUGUUCGGUUUCACUUUGAGAUUGAGGCACAGUACCCUCGCAACGGGGAGACGUCAUGGUCCUGCCGGUCCCAGCCCCGGCGGUUGCACACCUGCACACCUGCGCCUCAUCGGCUUGAGAAAAUGUACACAUUCAUGUAACACAGUAGUCAACAUAACCGGUACACUAUAUUCGUACAUGAAAACGAACUCUGUGGCCGACGAGUUAUUCCUUAAUGUUAGUUUUAGUGAGUUAGUUUUCGUUUUAGUUUUGAAAUUACAAGAUUUAACGGGACGAGCCGAAUGAAAAAGAAGUAAUAAUUUACUAGCUUUAGACCAAUAUUGAAACAUAGUUUCCAAGAGGAGUCUCUGAAAGAAAUUAGAGUAGUUGAAGUCUUUCCUUUAGUUGACAACUCCAACCAAUCAGAUGCAGAUUUGGCCAGGUUCCUUGCGUUGAGGAGGAAAAAAAAAACGAAUGGGGGAGGGGAGGACAGUCAUCUGGACGAUUCCUUUUUAACCUUCGCGCAUUGGCGAGGUUUCUUUCGUUGAAAAAAAAAUGGGGGAUGGUAGGAAAGUCAGCAGGACGAUUCCCUGUCAAAACAUCCAACAUUCCAAGUAUGGAAGUAAGUGUAUGUGCCACCAGGAUUCGAAUAAAAAAUGCCAAUUUUUUUUUUUGUUAAAGUCACAUUGUUAUUUCAAAGUGAUCACAUUUUCAAUAGCUGUAUUUAAGUUUAACUUUUCAAUGCUAAU
This is a long non-coding RNA of Syngnathoides biaculeatus (alligator pipefish), 910 nucleotides long. RefSeq lists it as uncharacterized. NCBI's taxonomy places the organism in Eukaryota, Metazoa, Chordata, Actinopteri, Syngnathiformes, Syngnathidae. The transcript has 3 exons. The record is from RefSeq and is a predicted model, not a curated record.